Molecule: ribosomal RNA, 253 nt
Filed under: uncultured bacterium
Lineage: Bacteria
Description: partial 16S ribosomal RNA
Rfam family: Bacterial small subunit ribosomal RNA
Source: RNAcentral
UACAGAGGAGCCAAGCGUUGUCCGGAUUGACUGGGCGUAAAGCGCACGCAGGCGGAUGCGCGCGUGGGGUGUGAAAUCUGGCCGCUUAACGGCCAGGCGCCAUCCCAUACGGCGCGUCUGGAGUGAUGCAGAGGUCGAUGGAAUUGCCGGUGUAGUGGUGAAAUGUGUAGAGAUCGGGAGGAACACCGGUGGCGAAGGCGGUCUUCUGGACCGGUAUUGACGCUGAGGCGCGAAAGCCAGGGGAGCAAACGGG